GUCUACGGCCGUGCCACUCUGAACAAACCCAGUGUCUGAUCUUGGAAGCUAAGCAGGGUCAGGCCUGGCUAAUACUUUGAUGGGAGACCACCUAGGAAGACCAGGUGCUAUAGGCA
This 116-nucleotide ribosomal RNA is filed under the name Pteropus alecto (black flying fox). Lineage: Eukaryota; Metazoa; Chordata; Mammalia; Chiroptera; Pteropodidae. The record is from RNAcentral.